Molecule: long non-coding RNA, 4754 nt
Organism: Bombus pyrosoma
Lineage: Eukaryota; Metazoa; Arthropoda; Insecta; Hymenoptera; Apidae
Exons: 5
Source: RefSeq, a predicted model, not a curated record
AUGUAUUUUCUUUUGCUUUGGGAUCUUUUGCGAAAGGUGCGCUCUUCAGCUAGUGCAAAUUAUACAAAUUAAGUGCUCGUCGAAUAUUUUAAAGCAAUUUUCUAAUCCUCGCUACAACAUAAAUUAUCCGAAUUGAAUUUAUUCUUAAUCUUGGAUAAGAUUUAGUCCGUUUAGUCGUUAUUCGUAAACGUUUGACAAAUAAAACGAAAGAGCAAAGAAAAUAUAAAGUAUCCUUAAAAAAUAUUAAAUAUUUGUUAGUUUAUUAAGAAACAACGUUUGGGCAGUUAUUGAUACAACAGCAAGUUGUAUGAAAUUUUUCUUUAACACGCAUGCAACAAAGUGACGGUUGGUUGCCCUAUUUUACGAUAUAACACCAGAAUUUCAAGUUUUAUAUUUUCCAAGAAAAACAGGAUCUCCUACAUAAACCGGCAUGUAAGGUAGCAAGUUAUUCAUACGUGCACACGACGUACAAAGUUUCCGAAUAAAUAUGUGAUCUAAGAAGAAUCGGUGGGCGUCUAUAGGUUAUGAUUUCGCACAUAGCUCGAACGAUUGUGUUUUAUACGAGAAACGAUGACUAAUACGUGACCAUACGAUCAUUUCCUUAUUGAUUGUCUUUAGAUCGGAGACGUGUAUAUCCGCAUAGAAGAUUUUAUUUCUAUUGGUGUCGAAUUUCUAGAAAAUUUUUAUUCGUCGUCGUUAUAUAAAAACACUUUUUUAAUGUCAUUUCUUACGUUUGCAAUGUUAUAGAAUGGAUCUUUUAACGAUUUAUGCCACGGCCGUAAAAUUAUACGCGUUAACGUGGGAUAUUCGCGGAUGAUCCGAUUUUCACGAUAUUAAUUGGCUAAUUAAAUUACAUGGUGCAUCAAGAGGUUUUCCAAAGUCAACGAUGCCUGUAAAAACGUCAGGACGUCAAUUACCAUGUCGACCCAGUUAUGCAGUCUUGUCUUCUGCUUGUUACAUUUCACGGCCGAUUAAAAUUAAGGAGCAAGGGUGAUAUCUAUUCCCAUUAUCUACAACAAAACCACGCAACUUUCACGAAGAGUCUAAACUAAAUUUUUAUACCUAAAAUAAUGGAAGUAACGUUGCUGUAGAUAUUAUCAAUUAUUUUUAACACACGGUAGGCGAUGUAAAAUAUUCCCAGUCAUUUUCGUAAGAACAGAAGGACUUCCUAGUAGAAAAUCCUAUUCAAGUACAAGAAACAAAUUCGUCUUUAUUCUCAACAGUUGCCAAAACACCAUCUCGCAUCAAUUUGUACCUAUGACUCAUUUCGCGUUAUAUAAAUUUAAAUCAUCCGUAUAAAUUCGCUAAUUCGCUAUUCUAAUAGCUAUUAUUUUUAGUUAUGAUUAAUAGCCCAAGUAGGUAUAAAAUUUGACGCAAAGCCUCGUAAUCGUAUCGCGCGUGACGAUCAUUCGCAUUUCGUUUCGGAUCGUUCGUUCUUUCUAGAUUCUUGUUAAUCACGCGUGAACAUUCAGGUGUUCUAAUUUGAACAGGCGUACCAGAGAGGCACGAAGGCCGCGGUUACUACGCAACUUUCUGUGUACGUCUGGUGGAACUGCGUGAUAUUUUUUUUUCGUGGAGUUAAAUCACGCAGGCAAAUGAUGCUGACCGCUAUUUUCACGCGUUGCACCGCGUCAUACGCACUGAACUGAAUGGACCGACGCGUCACGACGCCUUCUUAUUGUUCAUAAAUAGUCCUGCCUGCGGCUUCGCACUCGUCCACGAUCUCUUAUGAAUCAAACUAUGUGGAAUGUUUUCUCGAGAUCCAUCGAGUGACGAGGAGUGCAGUUGAUUUGCGCGGCAGCCAUAGCCACGGACGAAAACGUAGGAGGAAAACUGAAUCACGCUCUACUCGGCCAAACCGGGUGAAUAACAACCCUCGUCCGUAUCGAAUCGCGUGCAUGAAUAAUCUCCGCAGGAAAUUGGCGAAAAAUCCUAACGGAGGAUGCGAUUGAAUUUGAACGUGCGUCCGUGAAAAUUUCUAAACAUUUCCCCAUACCUAUAAAAGAAUCCCGUUACUCUUAUCCUUAUUAGAAAUUCCAGGCUUGAUUACCGGCGAAUGAGAUAAAUAAAUAGAGAACGUGCAACCAGGCAUCUCUUUGGCUGCACCUCGUGCAAAGAUCGAAAAUUUCAAAAUGGUUUAGCAGAGUGAACAAGAUGGUCGACAAAGACGAUCUCUUUUCAGUCUCCGAUCGACUUUUAGCCUGCAAUAGUCGUGAGAUGAAAAAAUCUACGAACAGCAGCGUUAAAAUGUAAACGAAAUUAAACGACGGUGAGGACGUAAAAGCACAUAGAAGAGAGCGGAGAAGACCGGUGUUGAUGACGAAGUGUGUCAAUGUCAAAUUGUUCGAGCCUCCAGACGAUAUUUCAGGCUUCUCUUACAGAGAACGAAUCGUCAAUCUUUUCGUCCGUGUUUCUCUCAAACGUUCACCGAAUUCUUAAGUUUCUCGUCGGUCUUGCGUGGGAGAACGUGGUUAACAUGACGUCACCUAUGUGGAGGUUUUACUGAUCGAUAAAACGCGUCACAAUCGUCGCUAAUAUGGAUUGGUCUUACGUCCAUUCGUUACGUAGCGAAUUGUCGCUGUACAUGUUGCUCAAUCCCGAGGUCAUUAUGUUGGAAGCGUCGUUUCGAUUUCACCAUUUUUGGACAAAUCCGUUAUACAACAGCAUCGAAUAGGGAUUACUGGGGAACUAAGAAAAUGAAAUUUUCAUAUAUAUAUAUAUAUAUAUAUAUAUAUAUAAUGUAUAUAUAAUGUGUAUAUAUAUAUAUAUAUACAUUGGAUUGUUAAUAGAAAAUUUUUACACUGACUCGUUUGGUAUCCCCUGAAAGAAGAGUCAUAAAGUUUCAGUAGCCUGUAUAACGUUAACUACGAUUAAAUGAAAUUUAUUUACUUUCGCUUUGAAGAGGAUUUUUUUACUCGAAUAAUAGGAAAUAUGUAUAGAAUCCUAAGAAUAGAUUAAAACAGGAAACGAGCACGUCUCGUAACUUUCCUUCGAAAAACGAUUUUUACCACGCAUUUAAAAGAGCCAAUUUCUUAAGCUUCCAGCUUAUGUCGAAAUUGAGUUACUCGUGCAAUACAAUUCGUUGAAUAAUUACAUUGUUAUGCCAGACAAGGAGACAGAAGCGAAACAGCUUGCCAGGCAAUUAUAUGUAGCGUGGCAUGCAGAAGAAAACAACUAAACGGAGGUUGUAGAAAAGAUAGUACAUACUAUACAUACACCUCUUCGACACCGCUGACUAUUAAUAGCUGGCAAAGUCCUACAGAGAGCCAUAUCCGAGGCCAGAUUCGAUCCAAGAAAUUCUGUAAUCGUUCGACCCUUUCGACCGUCAUUCUUCCACCAUUCAAUGUCGAGGGUACCGCGCGAAUUUUCUUCGCCUUUCUCCGCGCCAAUUUCCCCCGAUAUCAUAAAGAACCGGAGAACGGAAGCCAACGGAAACCAAAAGUUUCAAAGAUUGAUUGAAAAACUUUUGAGAAGCGAUAAACGACUCUGUGGGCGUAUCUUAAAUUUUGCAUAAACACAUCUAGAAAAUGGUCUGUCUCGUUAAUUUCCUAGUUUUUAGCACAACAAGGAUAAACUAAAGUUCCAUUACGUUAACUAAUGUUAAUUAAUGUUACACGAGCAAACAAAGAGAGGACCGUUCUUUGUUCUAGACGCUCGCGCGGCUGGAUUACAAAUAAUUUGUUGGAGUGGACAGUCGGUGUUGAUAACACAACCGGCAUGAACGAUUGAAUGAGGAGGUUAACUUGACUGGUGUCGUCGUACGACGACUUCGCAUCGCCACUACUGACUUGAGUACAAAUGGGGACUGAGGUUAACGCGCCAUGAUGUCACUCUCUGAUAUCAUAGUGUCCAUCUUUUAUUCAGUAAAAUUGCCGAGCCUUCGACCAGAUUGUCCCCCCCAAUUUCAAUCUCCACGAUAAUUCAAUAGCACGUGUAUAUCGUCGGCACGUGUGACGUGACAUACUGUAUAUCCUAUACACGAUACAUCUUGGAAGAAAAUGUCAAGGGAAAUUGUAAAUAAAACAACUAUAAUAUAACGCCAGACGAGUUUACCAUAUCAGGAAGGAUAAAUAUUAUAGCGCCGAAUUUUCAACCAUUUCUUUGCAAACUUGUGAAACUUGAUCCUAACCGGUUUGUUGUAACAUUCGCGCUACGUGGAUUUGCAAUACGAUCCGGCUGCAACUACUUAUAGCAUUCACGCACGUUUGUAUUUGCUAUAUACACGAUCUAUAGCUCAAAUGAAUUUUUAGUGCUUAAAUUCUCGGCGCUCUGUAUUUGCGCACAAACGUACCUAUUACAUCAGACAUCUAAAUAUUAUUAUUAAUGAAGCACGGUAGCAUAGAGGAUAACUUUUUUCUUUUUCUUUUAAACCGUUUAUUUAUAUAGAUCGCAUUAACAAUGUCAUAUUUGAUAUCGAUGGUCGAUGGUCAUCCUUCAUUUUGCUACACGUGCGUGAAAACAAUGUUAGUACACGCGAAUAAAUGUAGCCAUAUGGCCAAUGUCACUGCCACGAAUAAACUGACAAUAUGUAAUGCGAUGACAAGUGCCCGUAAUAUACUCAGCCGAUUGUGCAAGAGUAAUUUCUUUGUAAUUUGCUUUUCUUAGUACACUUUGAUAUUACAAUUUUUCCAUUGAAACCUUCCACACUGACAAGCAAAUAAGUCAUAAUUAAUAUUUCAUUCAGCUGUAUCUACUAAACAAUGACAAUGUAAAUAAGUCUGUGAGAAAUAUAAAUACAACGUUAUUACUUCUUA